Molecule: ribosomal RNA, 253 nt
Filed under: uncultured bacterium
Lineage: Bacteria
Description: partial 16S ribosomal RNA
Rfam family: Bacterial small subunit ribosomal RNA
Source: RNAcentral
UACAGAGGUCUCAAGCGUUGUUCGGAUUCAUUGGGCGUAAAGGGUGCGUAGGCGGCGCGGUAAGUCGGGUGUGAAAUCUCGGAGCUCAACCCCGGGCCUGCAGCCGAUACGGGCAGACUAGAGUUCGGCAGGGGAGACUGGAAUUCCUGGUGUAGCGGUGAAAUGCGCAGAUAUCAGGAGGAACACCGGUGGCGAAGGCGGGUCUCUGGACAGUUACUGACGCUGAGGCACGAAGGCCAGGGGAGCAAACGGG